RNAcentral lists this ribosomal RNA (468 nucleotides) under uncultured bacterium. Its description in RNAcentral is "partial 16S ribosomal RNA". It matches the Rfam family "Bacterial small subunit ribosomal RNA", at positions 28 to 507 of the family's 1533-position model. The record is from RNAcentral.
GACGAACGCUGGCGGCGUGCUUAACACACGCAACUCGAACGGAAAGGCCCUGGUUUUGUGGGGUGCUCGAGUGGCGAACGGGUGAGUAACACGUGAGUAACCUGCCCUUGACUUUGGGAUAACUUCAGGAAACUGGGGCUAAUACCGGAUAGGAGCUCCUGCUGCAUGGUGGGGGUUGGAAAGUUUCGGCGGUUGGGGAUGGACUCGCGGCGUAUCAGCUUGUUGGUGGGGUAGUGGCUUACCAAGGCUUUGACGGGUAGCCGGCCUGAGAGGGUGACCGGCCACAUUGGGACUGAGAUACGGCCCAGAGUGCUACAGGAGGCAGCAGGGGGGAAUAUUGUGCAAUGGGCGGAAGCCUAAUGCAGCAACGCCGCGUGCGGGAUGAAGGCCUUCGGGUUGUAAACCGCUUUCGCCUGUGACGAAGCGUGAGUGACGGUAAUGGGUAAAGAAGCACCGGCUAACUACGUG